Molecule: long non-coding RNA, 261 nt
Filed under: Elaeis guineensis (African oil palm)
Lineage: Eukaryota; Viridiplantae; Streptophyta; Magnoliopsida; Arecales; Arecaceae
Description: long non-coding RNA (EGUI_LNC029332)
Source: RNAcentral
UUUUCUACUUUCUUUUUGUGUUCCUUAAAUAGUUCUAGACUUUUGAUUUUCUACUAAUUAGAUAAACAUAACCAUAUAUAAAAAUUUAUUAAUAAAUAUGUGAAAAUAUUCUUUAUUUGUAUGUGUUUUUGCAUUGAAAAAUCCACAUAUAUCCUAAUGAAUAAUAUCAAUUAAUUCAGCCGCUCUAUUUCAAUUUAGAAAAGAAAAUCUAGACAUUUUAUCAGACGGGCAAUAUAUAUAUAUAUAUAUAUAUAUAUAUAU